GUUAAGUUUAUGCACGAGCUCAAUUCAUUCACAGCACACAAAUCAAACCUAGCAUUCCCCACAGCGCCACCGGCGACGAGAUUCUUCUUCUCCUUUUCUCACCCACAGCGCCACCGCCGGCCACUCUAAUCGCCGCAGCUACUUUCUCCUUCUUCUCCUCUUCUUUAAACACUGAACCAGUAGAAUACAGCCCCUGUGUCUCUCGUUCUUUCUCGUUCGCAGAAUAAAGCAAGCUCAAGCUCCACCACCACCGCGCCUCUCUCUCUCUUUUUAUCCCCCUCAGUUCUGGCUCGCAUACCUUCGCGCAAGCCCUAGCUCCGUGGCGACCAAAAUUGGUUCUACUGUCAGCCGCGGUUCCAUCUCUCUCUUUCCCCCUGUUCGAACCGAUAUGGUGCGUGAACUAGGGUUUUGGUUUUGUGGCAGUGGUUGUUCAUCGGAGAGCCACUGGCGAUGCUCCUAUUCUUAAGCAUUCUAAAUUCAAGUAUUAGUUUGGGAGGGAACUUGACAAUGGUGGAUCUUCCUGGUAUAACUAGGGUUUCUGUUCAUGGCCAGCCUGAAAAUAUCUUUGAUCAGAUCAAGGAUAUUAUCAUGGAGUAUAUUAGGCCUGAAGAGAGCAUUAUUCUGAAUGUUCUUUCUGCUACUGUUGAUUUUACUACUUGUGAAUCGAUAAGAAUCAAGAAUGUCUCAGUCUGUGGAUAAAACUGGUUUGAGAACCUUGGCUGUUGUAACAAAGGCUGAUAAGUCUCCUGAAGGCUUGUUGGAGAAGAGGCUAGUUCAAGUUCAAGGCAUGAUCAUAUCCAAAAUUCUGCCCGAAAUUGUGAAGAAAAUCAAUGAGAAGCUGACUUACAAGCUGACUUAAUUUCACCAAGAUGCUCAACCAGAAGUUCUCCCUCAAUCACAGUCAACGGAGACUAUUAAGAUCCCUACCACUAACUAUGAGUUUGGUGCAACCUUCAUUGAUCAUCCCAAGUUGAUGCUGUUGGGGAGAAUAUUGAUUGAUGGAAGGCUCAAUGCAAGAGUCAAGUGCGACGUCUUUGAAAAUCUCACUCUUAAAGCCAAUGCUCAGCUUAUGAAUGAGCCACACAUGUCUCAAGGGAUGGUCAACUUUGAUUACAAGUGAUUACAGCGUAUUUGAUGAGAACAUGGAAGGGAGCAUGAUAACCAUAGCAACUAUUUUCUGUAAUUCAGAUUUUCACUAGCAACACUUUCAGGGAAGAGUUUGAGACAGGGGAGUGUGAAACAAGGGAUUCAUGUAGUGAUACCUUGAGCGAUGAGAGUGAGUGUGAGAAGUUAUGGAGAUGGGAUGGGAGUUCCUCAGAAGAAGGUGGAAUGAAUAAUGUAGAACAAGAUUCUCAUCAAUUGCAUUUUAAUGAUAGAUUAGGUCAUCUCUAUUGUCAAUACUUUGAGAGAUCAACUCCAUAUGGAAGAGUUCCUCUAAUGGAUAAGUUGACUGAACAAAAAUUGACAAGAAAGGAAGGAAGCUUGCAGACAAGAUUGAAGCUUCUGGUUACUAUGUAAUUGUUCCAGACUUCUUUUAUGGUUGUAUGCAACUUGAAAUCCUCAUUUCUUGCUGUAGCUGAUGAUAGUGGUGAGGUGAAGUUGUAGGCAGACGGUACAAGAAGACAAAGCUCUUAUCUGUGAGGACUGGAAAGAAAAUAUUUUUCCCCUAUUAGAUUCAGCGCCUUCAAGGCUUAACCCAACAUUUUUUGGUAUAAAACAAUACUUUGCUGCAAAAAGUCUUAUUUCUUCACGGGGUUUCGAGAUAGAUGAUUUCCAUGGUUUUGGUAUGGUUCCCCUGGCAGACCUACCAAGCAGACAUUUAUUUGCGUGAUCCUGACCUGGAGGCUUUCAUAUUCUAAUGGUGUUUGUACCGUCAUGUGCUCCAGAUUCAAUCAUAAAACAGGGGCCGAGGAUGUGCAUUUCACCGCCUCAUCUAAUUCUGUAGCUGAUGAUGAUGUCGUUGAUGAUAAUAGUAACAAUGAUGAGGUAUUUUCUCUGGUAUCAAGGUGAUUGAUGAUGGUUUGGAUAGUUCUGUCAAUGAAAAAACAAAUGAUCUGGAGUCCCUUUUUAGAACAAAGGCCGAAACUCAUGACGCAGAAGGGAAUGUUGUUCCUGUGAGUGUCCAACCCCAAGAAGUAGUAGAAGUGCAGCCUAAUGAGAUCUCUAUUUUGUCUGAGAACCACCAAUCUGAAGUUAACUUGGGAUCUCAUGAUACUGAUGCUCAUGAACAUUUUGCAAAGGAGCCUCAUGGUUCUCAGGAUGCUAAAAUGAAUAAUACCGGAGUAAAUAUUGAGAUCUCUGAAGCCGAAAACUUAUGUGUUGCCCCUGGAACUGGGCAUGAAUCUUCAUCCUUAACUGAACUUGUUGAAAACAACCCUGUUGCGGAUAAAACCAAUGAUCUUGUUGAUUCUAUCCAUACAGAGAUGGGCAUCCCAUCUGAUUAGGAAAAUGUAUGGUGCAGGAAAAUGUCAUGAUUCCUGAUGACACAUGUUUGCUUCUCAAUCUUCUUCAUUGUUGAUGUUUAGACAAAUUCUUAAUAUGCAAUGUUUUUACAACCAUGUAGUUCCCUAUAUACUCAAACAGUAGCUAUUGAUACUAGACAUUGAUUCCAUCAUUUCAGCUUUGAAAUUGCAAACUAAUCAUUAAUAUGUAUUGGUUGGUGAAAACAGGAGUGAUACUGUAACCAUUGCCAAAAGGGUGACAAUGUCAAACGAGCUGCCAAGCAACUCAAGUCUUGCCUUUCUUGGAGAGACUCCAUAGGCAUCGGUAUCACAUCGUCAUAUUAAUUAUUUCUUUGCUGUUACAACUUACAAUUAUGCCUCUCACUCUCACUCUUUCGCAAUUCUGAACCUUUUAGCUCAUCACUUUGUUGCAUUAAAACAUAGAGGUAUGCUUAUAAUUUCCUGCUCUAGUUAUUAUGCCUCUCACUCUCGUUCUCACUCUUUCGCAAUUCUGAACCUUUAUGAGUGAAGCAAAAUUUGUCAUGUGCACAUUUAAUAUAGAGAGGUGAAGUUGCCAGUGAUAAUGGGGCAUUAAAGUAUACAACCACUAUUUGAUAAUGGUUCAAUUGAGAGUUUUCGUUUAGCUCUUCGUAUAUUUUGGUAUUAAAGUAUAUGAUUGUACUUUGUUAUGGCAGGUAUACUUUAUUUUGGACAAUGCUACUACUUAGCAAGCUUGCAUUCAGCUACUAUGUGGAGUCAGGAGAUAUCAAGAUUAACUUUCAAUGUGAAGCUUGAUGCUGCCGAUGCAAUUUAGUUAUCUAUUAAUAUUUUAGAUUAUUCUAUCUUUAAGUGCUAAGUGUAAUUUGUGACAUUCAUGUAACAUUAGGAUGGUCAUCUUAUUUUUUUUAGUAUCUUUUUAUUAAGACAGUGAGAUAUUGGCCAAUGAUGUUAAAAAAUAACCUCCAAUUUUAUAGGUAUCAUGUAAUGAAUAUUAUGUUUAUUUAUGUAAUUUUUGGCUUUCUUUUUUCAA
Molecule: non-coding RNA, 3471 nt
Organism: Arachis ipaensis
Lineage: Eukaryota; Viridiplantae; Streptophyta; Magnoliopsida; Fabales; Fabaceae
Source: RefSeq, a predicted model, not a curated record